AUUCUUUUGUAGUUGCUACGUGUGAUGACAGGGUGUUCACACACAUGUGUAAGAUGUACCACCCUCCAGCCUUGUUACAAUGUCGUCACAUUACCCGACCGAUG
Small nucleolar RNA from Gorilla gorilla gorilla (western lowland gorilla), 104 nucleotides. It matches the Rfam family "Small nucleolar RNA U13". NCBI's taxonomy places the organism in Eukaryota, Metazoa, Chordata, Mammalia, Primates, Hominidae. The record is from Rfam.